GACGAACGCUGGCGGCGUGCUUAACACAUGCAAGUCGAACGAAGAGCGAUGGAAGCUUGCUUCUCUCAAUCUUAGUGGCGAACGGGUGAGUAACGCGUAAUCAACCUGCCCUUCAGAGGGGGACAACAGUUGGAAACGACUGCUAAUACCGCAUACGAUCUAACCUCGGCAUCGAGGAUGGAUGAAAGGUGGCCUCUAUUUAUAAGCUAUCACUGAAGGAGGGGAUUGCGUCUGAUUAGCUAGUUGGAGGGGUAACGGCCCACCAAGGCGAUGAUCAGUAGCCGGUCUGAGAGGAUGAACGGCCACAUUGGGACUGAGACACGGCCCAGACUCCUACGGGAGGCAGCAGUGGGGAAUCUUCCGAAAUGGACGAAAGGCUGACGGAGCAACGCCGCGGGAGUGAUGACGGCCUUCGGGUUGGAAAGCUCUGUUAAUCGGGACGAAAGGCCUUCUUGCGAAUAGUUAGAAGGAUUGACGGUACCGGAAUAGAAAGCCACGGCUAACUACGUA
This 510-nucleotide ribosomal RNA is filed under the name uncultured bacterium. RNAcentral's name for it is "partial 16S ribosomal RNA". It matches the Rfam family "Bacterial small subunit ribosomal RNA", at positions 28 to 507 of the family's 1533-position model. The record is from RNAcentral.